Molecule: ribosomal RNA, 447 nt
Filed under: uncultured bacterium
Lineage: Bacteria
Description: bacterial SSU rRNA
Rfam family: Bacterial small subunit ribosomal RNA
Source: RNAcentral
UCGGGAAUUUUGGGCAAUGGGCGAAAGCCUGACCCAGCAACGCCGCGUGAAAGAUGAAGUAUUUCGGUAUGUAAACUUCGAAAGAAUAGGAAGAAUAAAUGACGGUACUAUUUAUAAGGUCCGGCUAACUACGUGCCAGCAGCCGCGGUAAUACGUAGGGACCAAGCGUUGUUCGGAUUUACUGGGCGUAAAGGGCGCGUAGGCGGCGUGGUAAGUCAUCUGUGAAAUCUCCGAGCUUAACUCGGAACGGUCAGAUGAUACUGCUGUGCUAGAGUACAGAAGGGGCAAUCGGAAUUCUUGGUGUAGCGGUGAAAUGCGUAGAUAUCAAGAGGAACACCUGAGGUGAAGACGGGUUGCUGGGCUGAUACUGACGCUGAGGCGCGAAAGCUAGGGUAGCAAACGGGAUUAGAUACCCCAGUAGUCCCUGAGCGGGCUGGCAAGGCGCAU